This is a non-coding RNA of Cordylochernes scorpioides, 73 nucleotides long. NCBI's taxonomy places the organism in Eukaryota, Metazoa, Arthropoda, Arachnida, Pseudoscorpiones, Chernetidae. The record is from the annotation of a GenBank genome assembly.
UGGAGAUGCUGGGUAACGAUCCCAGUACCUCUCGCAUGCUAAGCGAGCGCUCUACCAUCUGAGCUACAUCCCC